CGGUGUUUAACUGGCGUGAUGUGGGACGUCCUACCGGUGGGCUUAGCCUCGCCGAGGGGCGGCCCAACUAAUAUCCCGUCGCGGUGCUCUUUACUGAGUGUCGAGUCGGGCCGGUACGUUUACUUUGAACAAAUUAGAGUGCUUAAAGCAGGCUAUCCUCGCCUGAAUACUGCGUGCAUGGAAUAAUGGAAUAGGACCUCGGUUCUAUUUUGUUGGUUUUCGGAACCCCGAGGUAAUGAUUAAUAGGGACAGAUGGGGGCAUUCGUAUUGCGACGUUAGAGGUGAAAUUCUUGGAUCGUCGCAAGACGGACAGAAGCGAAAGCAUUUGCCAAAAAUGUUUUCAUUAAUCAAGAACGAAAGUUAGAGGUUCGAAGGCGAUCAGAUACCGCCCUAGUUCUAACCAUAAACGAUGCCAGCUAGCGAUCCGCCGAAGUUCCUCCGAUGACUCGGCGGGCAGCUUCCGGGAAACCAAAGCUUUUGGGUUCCGGGGGAAGUAUGGUUGCAAAGCUGAAACUUAAAGGAAUUGACGGAAGGGCACCACCAGGAGUGGAGCCUGCGGCUUAAUUUGACUCAACACGGGAAACCUCACCAGGCCCAGACACCGGAAGGAUUGACAGAUUGAUAGCUCUUUCUUGAUUCGGUGGGUGGUGGUGCAUGGCCGUUCUUAGUUGGUGGAGCGAUUUGUCUGGUUAAUUCCGAUAACGAACGAGACUCUAGCCUGCUAAAUAGGCGUACCUUAUGGUAUCGCGAAGGCCCCCGGCUUCGGCCGGUGGGUUUUUACUACCAACGUACAAACAAAUCUUCUUAGAGGGACAGGCGG
Molecule: ribosomal RNA, 820 nt
Filed under: uncultured eukaryote
Lineage: Eukaryota
Description: SSU rRNA
Rfam family: Eukaryotic small subunit ribosomal RNA
Source: RNAcentral